This 942-nucleotide ribosomal RNA is filed under the name uncultured bacterium. Its description in RNAcentral is "bacterial SSU rRNA". It matches the Rfam family "Bacterial small subunit ribosomal RNA", at positions 56 to 1010 of the family's 1533-position model. The record is from RNAcentral.
UGCAAGUCGAGGGGCAGCAUAAAUUACUUGUAAUUUGAUGGCGACCGGCGAACGGGUGCGUAACGCGUAUGCAACUUACCUUUUACUAGAGAAUAGCCAAGAGAAAUUUUGAUUAAUGCUCUAUGUUCUUAUUUACUCGCAUGAGUAAAUAAGCAAAGCUCCGGCGGUAAAAGAUGGGCAUGCGUCCUAUUAGCUUGUAGGUGAGGUAAUGGCUCACCUAAGCUCCGAUAGGUAGGGGUCCUGAGAGGGAGAUCCCCCACACUGGUACUGAGACACGGACCAGACUUCUACGGAAGGCAGCAGUAAGGAAUAUUGGACAAUGGAGGCAACUCUGAUCCAGCCAUGCCGCGUGAAGGAAGACGGCCUUAUGGGUUGUAAACUUCUUUUAUACAGGAAGAAACCUUUCCACGUGUGGAAAGCUGACGGUACUGUAAGAAUAAGGAUCGGCUAACUCCGUGCCAGCAGCCGCGGUAAUACGGAGGAUCCAAGCGUUAUCCGGAAUUAUUGGGUUUAAAGGGUCCGCAGGCUGUUUGUUAAGUCAGAGGUGAAAUCCUACCGCUCAACGGUAGAACUGCCUUUGAUACUGGCAAACUUGAGUUAUUGUGAAGUAGUUAGAAUGUGUAGUGUAGCGGUGAAAUGCAUAGAUAUUACACAGAAUACCGAUUGCGAAAGCAGAUUACUAACAAUAUACUGACGCUGAGGGACGAAAGCGUGGGUAGCGAACAGGAUUAGAUACCCUGGUAGUCCACGCCGUAAACGAUGGUCACUAGCUGUUCGAUGUACAUUGGUACGUUGAGUGGCUAAGCGAAAGUGAUAGUGACCCAUCUGGGGAGUACGCUCGCAGAGUGAACUCAAGAUUGACGGGGCCGCACAGCGUGAGCAUGUGUUUAUUCGAUGAUACGCGAGACUUACAGGACUAAUGUAGUGCAUGAUCAGAAUGAU